RNAcentral lists this transfer RNA (68 nucleotides) under human gut metagenome. It matches the Rfam family "tRNA". From Rfam's summary of the family: Transfer RNA (tRNA) molecules are approximately 80 nucleotides in length. Their secondary structure includes four short double-helical elements and three loops (D, anti-codon, and T loops). The record is from RNAcentral. RNAcentral also lists the same sequence under 1 other name.
CGGACAUAGUUUAUCGGUAGAACAUUAGCUUCCCAAGCUGAAUGGGUGGGUUCGACUCCCAUUGUCCG